Zonotrichia leucophrys gambelii is the source of this 1748-nucleotide long non-coding RNA. RefSeq lists it as uncharacterized. Lineage: Eukaryota; Metazoa; Chordata; Aves; Passeriformes; Passerellidae. The record is from RefSeq and is a predicted model, not a curated record. The transcript has 5 exons.
CUCUAAUGGGUCUCCAGGUUGGGAUUGGAUGCAGGUGCUCAAUUCCUGUACCUGAUUUGUGCCUGAUAAAAUCAAGGCUACAUCUGGAGGGCAGGGAAACAGGUAUACAGGCUGCUCCAGUUCUCUGCUAAAGCUACUGGGGCAGCUAUUACUGAACACAUGCACAGGACGUGUAGAGGAGGAAAAGGACAGCAGAGGUAGAGUUUAACCUGGUUCUGACAUGAAUCAUGCAGAUGAGAAACCUUACUGGAAAUGACAAACUUGAGAGUGGAUGUCAGCUAUCCAGUUCAGAGGCGAAGCAUCACAGCCAUAAGGAAAGAUUAUAAACAGAAUCCCAAGAAGUGUGAUGGCUGAUCCCAGGUGCUGCCAGAGCUCUCCCUGCACAGCCCAUGAGAAGGGACACAGUGUUGGUAACCUGGCAUGUGAUGGAUGUGCCUGUGCCCACAGCCACAGGAUUCUUUCAGAGCCAGUGGUGGUGAAGUCCCCAGACAGAGCAAGCAAUUCCAAGAAAAAGGCAGUAAACAAAGAAGGACAAUGAGUCAAUGAAACAACGUUGAGUGGAAAGCAACAGCCAGUACAAGAACUGAUAAACCUUGGAUGCACCUCUCUGCUCUGGCACUGUCCUGUUGGGUGACCUGAGGCCAACUACCUCCCUCCUGGAGUUUCAAUGCCUCCAGCUAUGAAAAGGGGACAACAAUAGCUGCCAGCUUGAAAAGAGCUUUGAAUUGAAAAGAUAAAGAAUGUUACCUAAGAGACAGGAACUAGAAAAGAGGUUUUUCAACCUGAGCUGAUUAUGUAAAGGUAAAACUCUUAAAAGUUAAUAAAGGUAAAAACAUACUUCCCCCCCCAUUGGUAGAAUUACUAACAGUACUGAUGGUAAGAAUUGCCAGUUAAUUUCUGUUUUGCUUAAAAUGGUUUUGCUAAGAUGGAAUAACAUUGCAAUGGUUUCAUUGUGGUUGUGGCUAUUUCAGAAAAGGAGAUUCCAGGUAAUUUCUUAACUCUGCCCCUCUUAAGUGCCCCAGUCAGCAUUCCUCUCAGCUAUCACAAGGAAUGGCUAUCACCCCAAUUACCUAUCAGUCCAUUCACACUAAUAUAAAGGUAAGGUAGCAGGUUUUCCUUUGCUAAACAAACCCCUCAAAAUCGGGCCUGUUAGCUGUGAAUCAAAAUUUGUUUGUCUGCUGUUGGACAAGCGAACUGAGGUGUAUUAACCUCUGCUUUGCAAUGAAGAGGUUCUGGGGAGCAACAGGGAACCAGCAGGGCCACAGUCCCCUGAAACACAGCGAACAAUGUGUCCCUGUGUCAGCACCUUGUAAGGUUUAAUUGAGAAAGGCUGUUCUGAGCGGUGGCACACGCAUAUUCAAUCUGCUGGCGUUAUCACUUUUUCUGUGAAGAAUGUGUAAAUGAUAAUGACGAACACAGUGGGGACUAGUAAAGCAGUUAACCAGUAACAGUGACAAAUUAGUUGGUCAAAUAAAACUAAAGAAUUAGAAUUGACUGUUUUCUCCAUAGGAAGCUGUAUAUGUGACAGCACUGGGCUUCAUAUCUGUUUCAUAAAAUAAGGAACUGAAAUCCAAAUUGUUGGUACCAUGCAGACUUAAUAUUCCUUUUCAACAGCACACCGAAAUGCUUCUGCAUUAAUGAACACUUCUACUAAAGAAGGGCAGGAUGACUGAAACAGCAGCAAUACAGAUAAUAAUUAAUGAAAUAAAUGAAAACUAACCCUGAAGAAUAAAAUAAGAGAAAGGCAA